UAAUCUCUCUCUCUUUAGAUCUCUCAAUCGUUCCUCUUCUAUAACAAAACCCUAGAUCAAAAUUCGUCUGCCUCUUUAGGUCUCUCAACCGUCUGCGACAAUUUUCAAUCGAUCUUCAAAUCACAAUCCUCUACAAUUGACGAUUUAAAUCUUUUAUUAGGGUUUUCACCUCUUCGCCACAAUCCAAUCGGAAGAUUUUUACUCCGUCACCGGAACAUGAACGGAAUGGAUUCCGGUGUGAAGGUACUGAAGCCGGAAGAGAUGAGUGCGAAAGAAGAUUGGAAGAGAUGAGUGCGAAAGAAGAUUGGUUUUAGAACUAGGGUUUAAUGUGGUUUUGAGUUUUUUUUUAAUUCCGUUAAGUUUGUUUCAGAAUAAUCUCUGAUUCGGUUUUUGAUGCUACAGAGUUUUAUAUUUUCUGGUAUUAUGGAUAACCUAUGUUUGAUGAUUCGAUUCGUAUUCUGAUGUUAAUUGUUCCAGAUGGUUCCAGAGAUCACAUUUGGAAACCAUACGCGGGUUGCAUUAGAUGUUGGAUGUGUGGUGGCAAGUUUUCGUGCUAAUUUGUUUUCAAGAAACGUACUCACUAUGUCUGUAGCUCCAAAAGAUGUAAAUGAGAACCAGAUUCAAUUUGCACUAGAACGUGGUGUGCCUGCAAUGGUUGCAACAUUUGCAACAAGGAGACUCUUAUACCCGAGCCAAGCUUUUGACUUAAUUCAUUGCUCAAGAUGUAGAGUCAACUCGACUCGUGAUGAUGAGAUUUUGCUACUUGAGGUCAACAGAUUCCUAAGAGCAGGAGGGUAUUUUGCCUGGGCAGCACAACAAGUUUACAAGCACGAACCACUGCUCGAAGAAAGCGAUGAACGAAAAUGGUCAGGAAUUGGAAUUCGGGUCCGUCCAUGUUGGUGGGUUUGUACAGUGGAGAUGGUGGUGAUAUGUUACGGUGGUUAGUGGUGAUGGUUUCCGGUGAUGUGGUUACUGUUGUUGAUGUGGUUCAAGAAUAAGGUAUGAUGUUUCUAGAGCUUUGUGAUUUCCUUUUGCUUUUGUUGAGGUAUAUAUAUAGAGAUAUGUGUGUGUGUGUGUUUUCUGGCUGCUUUACUUUUGAUUUUUUUUUUGAGAAAAAUGGGUUGUUUGACUAUAAAAGUCAAAUGUUGAUUUGGUUCUAUAUGUUUUAUUUGAAUGGUGUUAUUUGAUACCAGAUGAGGAAUUAGGUGAUAGAAAUGCAUCAAAUGAUGUUCAAUCAGUCUUCAAUAGUGUUUCAUUAGUUAUAUUUCAGGGGGUAUUUCAUUAUUUUGUUUAUAUGUCAUGGGUAUUCCAUUAUUUUGUUUUUAGGUGAUAUAGAUUUUCGCUUUAGUUUCUGAUUCUUGGAACCGAAUUGUAGCAAUCAGUUAGAUAGCUUAUUAACAUGCAUAAUUUACAUAUACUUCUUUCAUGUCAGCAGAUAUAAUAAUCUUGAUAACAUGUAUAUUUUCCCAUAGUUCUUUCAUUUGUAGAAGGACAAUCUGUUGCUAUUACUAUAGUCGUUUCAGUCAAAGGAGUCUUGCCAGCUCUAUCUUCUUUUGGGUGUGAUCAUUUUGGAAAUUCAUCCUAUAGAUGGAUAUUUGGAUCAUUUGCUAUCCCUGCUACAAGUUUUCAUCUUUUUUUUCUAUUUUUAUUAACUAAACAAAUUAUCUGGUGUAGAAUUCUUUUUUGGAAGUUUGUGCAUUAGGAUUUCACGAUUUCACUGAAACUACUUGUGAACUCUUUUAAUUUCUUAACAGCAUACAGGUAAAUUAUCUAGAGGCGUAUACAGCGCAAAUAUUAUAUUCUUUUACCUUUUUUGUGAUUGAUUAUUGUAAAGCAUGACACUCUUUCUUUUGGUAUAUCUCUCAACCACGAUGGAUCUUUUUUGUGUGCAUAUGGAGCGCACGUUCAUUGCUAUCAAGUCAGAUGGUGUGCAAAGAGGACUGGUGGAUACUGAAAUGUCAUGCUUGAAACAAGGUGAUAAUGGAGAUUGGUAGAAUUUUUUUCCAAGUUGUGGGAAUGGAUGAAACUUUAAAGGGAGACAUACUGAUAUAAAGCACAGGAAAGGAAUCAUUGCGAUGGGGUAAACACAUGUCACCCGUAUCUAAAUCAUAUAGAAGGCCCAGCUGGUACUCCGUAUGAAAAUGGCAUUUUUCACAUGAAACUGAUCUUGUCCUAUGAGUUUCCCCAGUCACUUCCUAAAGUGUCGGAAGGGUGGAGGCAAAUCACAGCAAAACGAGCAGAUGAUGGAUCUCACAGUUGAAAUUGAAGGCAAUAUUGAGACUUUAGAAGAGGCUCUGGAUAAAUUGACAUGUACCGAGAUAGUGGAUGGUGAAAACAAGUAUAAAUGAAGGUGCACUUUUAGUAUCAAGUUGGUUACAAAUGAUAACACAUGUUGAUUUUAAUAAGUAUUGAAAAUUCAGCCUUUCACCUAUUGGAGUUGCCUUUGUACUUUUGCAGUGAAAAUUUGGUCCAAAAUAUAAUUUUGGUUUGAAAGUAGUUUUUAUAUCACAGAGGAAAGUCAUGGUAAAUAUAGUUAUUUAUCGACUACCACUGAACAAUUUUUUUUUAACCCGCACUACCCCUCAACUUCUCUUCAAGAUUCAUAAUAUGAUUAUUAUUGUAUCCUACUAAGAUUUUAGUUGUACCUAAC
This is a long non-coding RNA of Helianthus annuus (common sunflower), 2650 nucleotides long. RefSeq lists it as uncharacterized. The transcript is spliced from 10 exons. Lineage: Eukaryota; Viridiplantae; Streptophyta; Magnoliopsida; Asterales; Asteraceae. The record is from RefSeq and is a predicted model, not a curated record.